This 275-nucleotide long non-coding RNA is filed under the name Olea europaea (common olive). RNAcentral's name for it is "long non-coding RNA (OEUR_LNC004558)". The record is from RNAcentral. Lineage: Eukaryota; Viridiplantae; Streptophyta; Magnoliopsida; Lamiales; Oleaceae.
GUAAUCAGAGAAUUUUAUUCCUUAAAAGAGAGUACACAAGGGGUAUACAAUCACUUUAAGCAUGAAAGGAACAACAAGAAAUUAGUCAACCCUACAACAGGAUUUUUAGCCACUACAUUAAACCAAAUAUACAAAGUCAAUUAAAAUAAUUCUCUUAUCUGUUCUGUUGUCUUUGUUUGGUCUUCGAAACAUCGAUUGUUCCGUUAUCUCCAUAUGCACCAUACAAUGCAUCCCGAGAUAAGAUUCCAUAGAAGUUUGCUAUCCUUAUCGCGAAA